This 473-nucleotide long non-coding RNA is filed under the name Mustela putorius furo (domestic ferret). Its description in RNAcentral is "lncRNA (ENSMPUG00000025844.1)". Lineage: Eukaryota; Metazoa; Chordata; Mammalia; Carnivora; Mustelidae. The record is from RNAcentral.
GCCAGAUCAGUUGUAUGCACAAAGCGGCUUUGGAUCUGUCUUUUCAAACAAGAGCUGCAGAAAACGUUAUAGCAAGGUUGAUGCUUUAUUCCACUCUGAUUCACCCAGAAAGCACAACCCUGAUUUUGCCUGAGAAGGACUACUAACAGAACCUGAAACGUGAGUACUGUUUUUUUUUUUCUUUUUUUGUGCUGUUGAAUUCUAUGCUAUAUAACUAACUCUGAUAUGACGUGGCCUUUAUUAAGAUAUGUAAUGAAAGUCUUGAGUAAGUGUAAUUAUAGACUAUGAGAAGUAUAAGAAGGGCGGAAAGUGAAAAGUGAUAUUUCUGUUUUAUUGUUCCCUUUCAGAGAAUUUUUGUAGUUAAUGUUUAACUUUGAAGACAGUACAUUUGUGCUAUUCUUUGACAUUCAGUUUAAAGCAUACAGUUUGUAGUUUUUUUUUAUUCCAUUGUAUCUGUGGUUGAUAAGGUAUGU